Molecule: ribosomal RNA, 490 nt
Filed under: uncultured Oscillospiraceae bacterium
Lineage: Bacteria; Bacillati; Bacillota; Clostridia; Eubacteriales; Oscillospiraceae
Description: partial 16S ribosomal RNA
Source: RNAcentral
CACGUAGUUAGCCGGAGCUUCCUCCCAGGUUACCGUCAUUAUCUUCACCUAGGACAGAGGUUUACAAUCCGAAAACCUUCUUCCCUCACGCGGCGUUGCUGCAUCAGGGUUUCCCCCAUUGUGCAAUAUCCCCCACUGCUGCCUCCCGUAGGAGUCUGGGCCGUGUCUCAGUCCCAAUGUGGCCGUUCAACCUCUCAGUCCGGCUACCGAUCGUCGCCUUGGUGGGCCGUUACCCCUCCAACUAGCUAAUCGGACGCGAGUCCAUCUUUCUGCGGAUUGCUCCUUUGAUAUCGAUACCAUGCGAUUUCAAUAUUUUAUGCGGUAUUAGCUCCGGUUUCCCGGUGUUAUCCCCCUCAAAAAGGCAGGUUGCUCACGCGUUACUCACCCGUCCGCCACUAUCCAGCAUUCAAGCAAGCUCAAAUGCUAAAUCGUUCGACUUGCAUGUGUUAGGCACGCCGCCAGCGUUCGUCCUGAGCCAGGAUCAAACUCU